RUGGGUUUGUAGCUCAGUUGGUAAAACCUCAGCCUUCCAAGCUGAUGUUGUCGGUUCGAUUCCGAUCACCCGCUCCA
This 77-nucleotide transfer RNA is filed under the name Solibacillus kalamii. RNAcentral's name for it is "tRNA-Gly". It matches the Rfam family "tRNA". Rfam says of the family: Transfer RNA (tRNA) molecules are approximately 80 nucleotides in length. Their secondary structure includes four short double-helical elements and three loops (D, anti-codon, and T loops). Lineage: Bacteria; Bacillati; Bacillota; Bacilli; Caryophanales; Caryophanaceae. The record is from RNAcentral.